Molecule: non-coding RNA, 225 nt
Organism: Vicia faba (fava bean)
Lineage: Eukaryota; Viridiplantae; Streptophyta; Magnoliopsida; Fabales; Fabaceae
Source: the annotation of a GenBank genome assembly
AUGUCAAUCUCCGCCGUGCCCUCAAAUAAUUCUCUCCGUUCUCGCUCAAUCUCUCUGUCCCAAUUUGUUUUCGAUUUCAUCUUCUACUCUCCGCCUUCGUUCUCAUCUGAAUCGCCGCCUUCGUUCUCAUCUGAAUCGCCACCGUCUCCCUUCUUCGUCAAUAAUCUGAACAAGAUAUGUGGAUUUCGUUGCGUCUUCACCAUGUUUGAAACAUCAUCGGAGUGA